CAGAGAAUAGUUUAAUAAAAAAUACCAGCUUUGGGAGUUGGUNWUGAAGGUUGGUUGU
RNAcentral lists this transfer RNA (58 nucleotides) under Circus assimilis. RNAcentral describes it as "tRNA-Pro". Lineage: Eukaryota; Metazoa; Chordata; Aves; Accipitriformes; Accipitridae. The record is from RNAcentral.